Anopheles arabiensis is the source of this 726-nucleotide long non-coding RNA. RefSeq lists it as uncharacterized. The record is from RefSeq and is a predicted model, not a curated record. NCBI's taxonomy places the organism in Eukaryota, Metazoa, Arthropoda, Insecta, Diptera, Culicidae. The transcript is spliced from 3 exons.
CCGUAACAUCGAAGCAACCGGCGAAAGGAAGAAAGCGAAAAAGCAAACAAGUUAGUGUGAGUUUUCUCUUCCAAGAAUGGAGGCGCGUUGGCUGGCAAACGGGGAAGGGGUUUUAGUUCGUUUUUUCUGCCCUUCCUCCCUCCGCUCGAGAUGAAAGAUACUAAAAGCCUGCUGCCCAGGGCUGGUAAAAGCGUCAGGAUGCCGAGAGCACGGGGGGAAACAGCGGUCUCGGCUCGUUUAAUCCGUGCCGUGUAUAGCACAACACGGGCUUAAAUUUAAGCAUGACUAGAGGUUAAAGCCACCUAACCAUGUGUGUGAAAGCGUGUAAGCGGGGAAGCCUUUUAAAGCUCGUGCAAUUGUAAAUGGCUUACUCUAGCUAACGACGAGUGAAGGGGGAACGAGCCCAGAUAAUGGAAUUGCAUCAAACGGAUAAAUUCUGCUGCGAGCUGAAAUGUUUUCCAUAAAUAGAGCAGCACAUUCCCAGCGUGUGCGGAAGGGGGUGGGAUAAAACCUGAUGCGAAAAAUCAGAUAAUGACAUCAGAUUGGCGCACAGAGGGAUCCCGCAGCCAUUCCGCAAGGGAAAAAAGGGAAAACGAUUUAAACGGUCCAGCAAAUCGUAACACUCGUGUUGGUGCGGUGGACAAACACUUCCACUUCCCGUUGGUCAAAUUUCCACACCAGAACGCUGUGUCCGAUGCACGAGAGAGAGAGAGAAAGAGAGAGAGA